CGGAAACUGGGUCAGAGACUGCUGGGUGGGUGGUCUGCUUUGUCCAACUCCUGAGGAUCUUCCGUCCCAGAUGGUGAUAUUCAGCUUCUGCAAAGGGUUCCACUGACAGCUCUUCCACUGAACUGGGCAGAGAUAGAGAUUGGCCAAGCACAGCCUCCUGUGUCCAGGAAAGCCCCAAGUUCAGGAGGACUUUCUACUCUCAGCUCUUGUUAGGCUUUUACAUAAUAGGAAGUUGCUGG
Molecule: long non-coding RNA, 239 nt
Organism: Vidua chalybeata
Lineage: Eukaryota; Metazoa; Chordata; Aves; Passeriformes; Viduidae
Exons: 3
Source: RefSeq, a predicted model, not a curated record